This 73-nucleotide transfer RNA is filed under the name Ovis aries (sheep). It matches the Rfam family "tRNA". From Rfam's summary of the family: Transfer RNA (tRNA) molecules are approximately 80 nucleotides in length. Their secondary structure includes four short double-helical elements and three loops (D, anti-codon, and T loops). Lineage: Eukaryota; Metazoa; Chordata; Mammalia; Artiodactyla; Bovidae. The record is from Rfam by way of RNAcentral.
UCCCUGGUGGUCCAGUGGCUAAGACUCUGCACUCCCAACGCAGAGGGCCAGAGUUCAAUCCCUGGUCAGAGAG